AGCGGCGAACGGGUGAGGAAUACAUGGGUAACCUACCCUAGAGUGGGGAAUAACUAGCCGAAAGGUUAGCUAAUACCGCGUACGCUUCUUGGACUUCGGUUCAGGGAGGAAAGCGCUACCGAGGGUAGCGCGCUCUUGGAUGGGCUCAUGUCCUAUCAGCUUGUUGGUGAGGUAACGGCUCACCAAGGCUUCGACGGGUAGCUGGUCUGAGAGGACGAUCAGCCACACUGGCACUGCGACACGGGCCAGACUCCUACGGGAGGCAGCAGUAAGGAAUAUUGCGCAAUGGGCGAAAGCCUGACGCAGCGACGCCGCGUGGGGGAUGAAGGUCUUCGGAUUGUAAACCCCUUUCGGGAGGGAAGAUGGAAUGGGGUAACCCAUUCGGACGGUACCUCCAGAAGCAGCCACGGCUAACUUCGUGCCAGCAGCCGCGGUAAUACGAAGGUGGCAAGCGUUAUUCGGAUUUACUGGGCGUACAGGGAGCGUAGGCGGUUCGGUAAGCCCUUUGUGAAAUCUCCAGGCUUAACCUGGAACAGUCGGAGGGGACUGCCGGGCUAGAGGACGGGAGAGGAGCGCGGAAUUCCCGGUGUAGCGGUGAAAUGCGUAGAGAUCGGGAGGAAGGCCGGUGGCGAAGGCGGCGCUCUGGAACGUUUCUGACGCUGAGGCUCGAAAGCGUGGGGAGCAAACAGGAUUAGAUACCCUGGUAGUCCACGCCUUANACUAUGAAUACUAAG
Molecule: ribosomal RNA, 734 nt
Filed under: uncultured bacterium
Lineage: Bacteria
Description: bacterial SSU rRNA
Rfam family: Bacterial small subunit ribosomal RNA
Source: RNAcentral